CCGACGGUGAGAGGCGAAAGCUGGGGGAGCAAACCGGAUUAGAUACCCGGGUAGUCCCAGCUGUAAACGAUGCGCGUUAGGUGUGUCAGUGACCACGUGUCACUGAUGUGCCGAAGGGAAACCGUGAAACGCGCCGCCUGGGGAGUACGGUCGCAAGGCUGAAACUUAAAGGAAUUGGCGGGGGAGCACCACAACGGGUGGAGCCUGCUGUUUAAUCGGACUCAACGCCGGAAAUCUCACCGGAUAA
This 247-nucleotide ribosomal RNA is filed under the name uncultured archaeon. RNAcentral describes it as "partial 16S ribosomal RNA". It matches the Rfam family "Archaeal small subunit ribosomal RNA", at positions 691 to 937 of the family's 1478-position model. The record is from RNAcentral.